AGGCUUGUCAAGCCUUGCGGCGCGGGGUGGCUCUUGAUGAGAGCUGCAAUGAUGCCAAGUUCAAUCUUGGACUGACUUU
RNAcentral lists this transfer RNA (79 nucleotides) under Prochlorococcus marinus str. MIT 1342. Its description in RNAcentral is "tRNA-Ile". Lineage: Bacteria; Bacillati; Cyanobacteriota; Cyanophyceae; Synechococcales; Prochlorococcaceae. The record is from RNAcentral.